Molecule: ribosomal RNA, 464 nt
Filed under: uncultured bacterium
Lineage: Bacteria
Description: partial 16S ribosomal RNA
Rfam family: Bacterial small subunit ribosomal RNA
Source: RNAcentral
GGUGAACGCUGGCGGUAUGCCUAAGACAUGCAAGUCGCGCGGUCUGAUUUCGGUCAGGUAGCGGCGGACGGGUGAGUAACACGUGGGUGAUCUGCCCCGUAGUCCGGGACAACUAGGCGAAAGCUUAGCUAAUCCCGGAUGUGGACCCUCCUCUUGAGGAGUGUCUAAAGCUUCGGCGCUAUGGGAUAGGCCUGCGGCCCAUCAGCUAGUUGGCGGGGUAACGGCCCACCAGGGCGACGACGGGUAGCUGGUCUGAGAGGACGACCAGCCACGGCGGUACUGAGACACAGACCCGACUCCUACGGGUGGCAGAAGUAAGGAAUCUUCCCAAUUGGGCGAAAGCCUGAGGGAGCGAUACCGCUUGAGCGAGGAAGCCCUUCGGGGUGUAAAGUUCUGAACCCGGGACGAUGAUGACGGUACCGGGGUAAUAGCACCGGCUAACUCCGUGCCAGCCGCCGCCGUAA